RNAcentral lists this ribosomal RNA (377 nucleotides) under Iberus gualtieranus gualtieranus. RNAcentral's name for it is "16S ribosomal RNA". It matches the Rfam family "Bacterial large subunit ribosomal RNA", at positions 1855 to 2597 of the family's 2925-position model. Lineage: Eukaryota; Metazoa; Mollusca; Gastropoda; Stylommatophora; Helicidae. The record is from RNAcentral.
AUUUCUGCUCCAUGAGAUUUUAAAUAGCCGCAGUACUCUGACUGUGCAAAGGUAGCAUAAUCAAUUGGCUUUUAAUUAGAGUCUGGUAUGAACGAAUAUAUGGGUUACAGCUGUCUUAGAAUAAUACUUCGAAAUUGGAUGUAAGUGAAAAUCCUUACUUAAAUAAAAAAGACGAGAAGACCCUAGAAGCUUAUAUUAAUAUUUUGUUGGGGCGACAGAAUUACAUUUAACUAAUUCUAAAAAACGGGACGCGGGACUGAUAGAACAAGCUACUCUAGGGAUAACAGCAUAAUUUUCCGUUUGUGACCUCGAUGUUGGACUAGGUAAAUCAUCCUUUAGAAGAGGAUGUGAUAGCUCUGUUCGAGCGUGUUUAACCU